This 1429-nucleotide ribosomal RNA is filed under the name metagenome. RNAcentral's name for it is "bacterial SSU rRNA". It matches the Rfam family "Bacterial small subunit ribosomal RNA". The record is from RNAcentral.
CGAACGGCAGCGGGUCCAGCAAUGGAUGCCGGCGAGUGGCGCACGGGUGCGUAACGCGUAUGCAACCUACCCUUAACCGAGACACAACCUUGAGAAAUCGAGGCUAAUAUCUCAUAACACUAUGAAAUGACAUCAUUUUAUAAUUAAAGCUCCGGCGGUUAUAGAUGGGCAUGCGUGACAUUAGCUAGUAGGUGAGGUAACGGCUCACCUAGGCUACGAUGUCUAGGGGUUCUGAGAGGAUGAUCCCCCACACUGGUACUGAGACACGGACCAGACUCCUACGGGAGGCAGCAGUAAGGAAUAUUGGGCAAUGGACGCAAGUCUGACCCAGCCAUGCCGCGUGCAGGAUGACAGCCCUAGUGGUUGUAAACUGCUUUUAUACGGGAAAAAACCCCUGGUCGUGCAUCAGGGCUGAUGGUACCGUAAGAAUAAGGAUUGGCUAACUCCGUGCCAGCAGCCGCGGUAAUACGGAGGAUCCAAGCGUUAUCCGGAUUCAUUGGGUUUAAAGGGUGCGCAGGCGGGAUAAUAAGUUAGUGGUGAAAGCCUACGGCUUAACUGUAGAAUUGCCAUUAAUACUGUUAUUCUUGAGUACAGUUGAAGUGGGCGGAAUGUGUCAUGUAGCGGUGAAAUGCUUAGAUAUGACACAGAACGCCGAUAGCGAAGGUAGCUCACUAAGCUGUAACUGACGCUCAGGCACGAAAGCGUGGGGAGCAAACAGGAUUAGAUACCCUGGUAGUCCACGCUGUAAACGAUGAUUACUCGAUGUUGGCGAUAUACAGUCAGCGUCUAAGCGAAAGCAUUAAGUAAUCCACCUGGGGAGUACGGUCGCAAGAUUGAAACUCAAAGGAAUUGACGGGGGCCCGCACAAGCGGAGGAGCAUGUGGUUUAAUUCGAUGAUACGCGAGGAACCUUACCUAGGCUUAAAUGUAGAGCGCCGUACCGGGAAACCGGUAUUUUCUUACGAACGAUCUACAAGGUGCUGCAUGGUUGUCGUCAGCUCGUGCCGUGAGGUGUUAGGUUAAGUCCUGUAACGAGCGCAACCCCUAUCCUUAGUUGCCAUCAGGUAAUGCUGGGAACUCUAAGGAAACUGCCUACGCAAGUAGUGAGGAAGGUGGGGAUGACGUCAAAUCAGCACGGCCCUUACGCCUAGGGCGACACACGUGCUACAAUGGCCGGUACAGAGGGCAGCUACCUGGUGACAGGAUGCAAAUCUCGAAAGCCGGUCUCAGUUCGGAUCGAAGUCUGCAACCCGACUUCGUGAAGUUGGAUUCGCUAGUAAUCGCACAUCAGCCAUGGCGCGGUGAAUACGUUCCCGGGCCUUGUACACACCGCCCGUCAAGCCAUGGGAGUCGGGGGUACCUAAAGUCGACGACCGAUGAGGAGUUGCCUAGGGUAAAACCGAUGACUGGGGCUAAGUCGUAACAAGGUA